Molecule: ribosomal RNA, 482 nt
Filed under: uncultured bacterium
Lineage: Bacteria
Description: partial 16S ribosomal RNA
Rfam family: Bacterial small subunit ribosomal RNA
Source: RNAcentral
GACGAACGCUGGCGGCGUGCUUAACACAUGCAAGUCGAACGCUGAAGCUCAGCUUUUGUUGGGUGGAUGAGUGGCGAACGGGUGAGUAACACGUGAGUAACCUGCCUCCUUCUUUGGGAUAACGCCCGGAAACGGGUGCUAAUACUGGAUAUUCACUGGUCUUCGCAUGGGGGUUGGUGGAAAGGGUUUUUCUGGUGGGGGAUGGGCUCGCGGCCUAUCAGCUUGUUGGUGGGGUGAUGGCCUACCAAGGCUUUGACGGGUAGCCGGCCUGAGAGGGUGACCGGUCACAUUGGGACUGAGAUACGGCCCAGACUCCUACGGGAGGCAGCAGUGGGGAAUAUUGCACAAUGGGCGCAAGCCUGAUGCAGCGACGCCGCGUGAGGGAUGAGGCCUUCGGGUUGUGAACCUCUUUCGCUCAUGGUCAAGCCGCAACAAUGGUUGUGGUGAGGGUAGUGGGUAAAGAAGCGCCGGCUAACUACGUG